This 232-nucleotide ribosomal RNA is filed under the name uncultured bacterium. Its description in RNAcentral is "partial 16S ribosomal RNA". It matches the Rfam family "Bacterial small subunit ribosomal RNA", at positions 118 to 346 of the family's 1533-position model. The record is from RNAcentral.
UGGGUGAUCUGCCCUGCACUUUGGGAUAAGCCUGGGAAACUGGGUCUAAUACCGGAUAUACCCUGCUGGUCGCAUGGCCUGGUGGGGGAAAGCUUUUGCGGUGUGGGAUGGGCCCGCGGCCUAUCAGCUUGUUGGUGGGGUGAUGGCCUACCAAGGCGACGACGGGUAGCCGGCCUGAGAGGGUGACCGGCCACACUGGGACUGAGAUACCGGCCCAGACUCCGUGGCGGGA